Long non-coding RNA from Oncorhynchus nerka (sockeye salmon), 577 nucleotides. RefSeq lists it as uncharacterized. NCBI's taxonomy places the organism in Eukaryota, Metazoa, Chordata, Actinopteri, Salmoniformes, Salmonidae. The transcript has 4 exons. The record is from RefSeq and is a predicted model, not a curated record.
GAGCGAGACAAUACGCAGCACCUCCAUACAUGUAGUGAUGCAACUGUUGUAUUAAGGUUUCAUAUAUUGUAUAUUUCUAGAAUUCCUUCAUCUGAGAGGGAAGAGAACCCUUAGACACUCGGGACAGGUCGGUCGGCGCUUCUACGGCAGCAAAGAAUUCAAGAGCUGAAGACUGACUGUAGCAGAGUUGUAGGGCUACCGUAAAGCGAGCACUCGACGGUUUCAUUAGAUGCGUUUGCAGAGAAGUAAAGCAUGACAACAUACUCCGCGGGGUAAAACGACGACAUUAUGUUUUGACGAGACGAAUGGCGUACAGAGGGAUCUAUCAUAGCGACCAGCUUUAAGCCCCCAAAAUUACAAACAAACUAAAGGCGAAGGAUCGAUAGAGAGUGUCUCACGGAAUGAUGAACUGGCACUUCGAGCAUCGACACUUUGACCUGUGAGAGAGAGGAGAGUCCUAUAAUGGCCCAUAGGAUAAGCAGUAAAAAAACAACUGAGGAGCAUCUGUUUGUGGAUCCAGUCCAUGUCAACCUUCAGAGCAACCAGACAUCUUCCCACUAACACAUCUGACUUCUGC